GACGAACGCUGGCGGCGUGCUUUACACUUGCAAGUCGAGCGGUAAGGUUCCUUCGGGAGUACCGAAGCGGGGAAGGGGGGAGUAACACAUGAGCAAUCUGCCCUUCUCAUCGGAAUAACCAUUGGAAACAAUGGCUAAUGCCAAAUAUGACCUCCAUUCGCAUGUUUGGAGGGGGAAAGCUCCGGGGGAGAAGGAUGAGCUCGCGGCCUAUCAGUUUGUUGGGAAGGUAAUAGCUCACCAAGGCAUUGACGGGAAGCCGGCCUGAAAGGGUGACCGGCCACCCUGGAACGGAAACACGCCCCAAACUCCUACGGAAGGCAGCAUUGGGGAAUAUUGAACAAUGGGCGAAACCCUGAUCCACCACCGCCGCGUGAGGGAUGACGGCCUUCGGUUUGUAAACCUCUUUCAUUAGGGACGAAGCGAAAGUAACGGUACCUACAGAAAAAGGACCGGCCAACUACGUG
RNAcentral lists this ribosomal RNA (464 nucleotides) under uncultured bacterium. Its description in RNAcentral is "bacterial SSU rRNA". It matches the Rfam family "Bacterial small subunit ribosomal RNA", at positions 28 to 507 of the family's 1533-position model. The record is from RNAcentral.